RNAcentral lists this small RNA (379 nucleotides) under Arabidopsis thaliana (thale cress). RNAcentral's name for it is "ATSL059620". Lineage: Eukaryota; Viridiplantae; Streptophyta; Magnoliopsida; Brassicales; Brassicaceae. The record is from RNAcentral.
GAUAAUUUUUUUGUGUUAUAUUGUUUUUUGUAAUGGACAUUAGAAAUCAUUUUCUUAUGCCUUAUAUCAGCACUAUCUCCAGGAUUAGUAGGUGAAAUCAUUCAUUGAACCGGUUUUGAAAUGAUGUUGAUCACCAGUUUUCUUUAGUCUUCAGCUUUCUUUAUGUCAUAUUUUAAAUCUUUAAACAUUCACAACUCCUGGAUGCCUGAUACCGGGACUAUCUCCUGGAUUAGUAGGCGCAAAAUCAUUUGUAAAUUUGUUGUUUAGAACUCUUGGAUGCCCAAUACCGAGACUAUCUUCUGGAUUAGUAGGCGCAAACUCAUUUAUAAAUCUGUUUUUUAGAUUAUUUUCAUCACCAAUUUUCUUUAGCUUUUUUACU